This 1651-nucleotide long non-coding RNA is filed under the name Macaca fascicularis (crab-eating macaque). Its description in RNAcentral is "lncRNA (ENSMFAG00000048791.1)". The record is from RNAcentral. Lineage: Eukaryota; Metazoa; Chordata; Mammalia; Primates; Cercopithecidae.
UUUUUUUUUUUUUUUUUUUUAAAUAAUAGACACAGUCUCACUAUAUUGCCCAGGCUGGUCUCGAACUCUUGGGCUCAAGUGAUCCUCCCACCUCAGCCUUCCAAAGUGUUGGGAUUAUAAGCAUGAGCCACUGCACCUGGCCUAGUUAAUUGUUUAAAAUUAACAUUUUAUUUAAAAAUACUUAUCUUCAUAAAUUUUAAUGGUUGUAUAAUACUCCAUUAUAGGGAUAUACCAAAAGUAUCAGGCCAAGUGCUAUGGCUCACGCCUGUAAUCCCAGCACUUUGGGAAGCCAAGGUGGGUGGAUCACCUGAGGUCAGUAGUUCAAUACCAGCCUGGCCAACAUGGCAAAACCUCGUCUCUACUAAAAAAUGCAAAAAAGUAGCCAGGCAUGGUGGUGGCAUGUGCCUGUAAUCCUAGCUACUCGGGAGGCUGAGGCAGGAGAAUCACUUGAACCCAGGAGGCAGAGGUUGCAGUGAGCCAAGAUCGCACAACUGCACUCCAGACUGGGCAACAGAGAGAGACUCCAUCUCAAAACAAAACAAAACAAAAACAAAAACCCAGAAGUGUCCUUUUUAACUAGUAAAUUUUACAUAGUAAAAUGUAAGCAAACAACAUCAGUAACACUAAAUGGAACUCUUUAGGAGUUUCCUUUGAUUGAGGAUCAUUUGAGAAAUCCACCAAGCCACUUGUAUAUAGUGUCAGAAUUUUAGGCUCAGGUAUACUUCUGAUUCCACAGCCAUGGGAAAGUCACCUAAUGUCGCUCUACCCUGGAAUUCUCCAUGUUAGAUAAGAGGUCUCAGAGCAAAUAAACACUGAGGUUUGCUCCAGCUCUGAAUGUCUGAGAAUUCACCCAUAACUGAGGCUGUUGCAAUGUGUCUUUUCCUUCCGUAGUGUUUUUGCUGACUCACUUGUGACCCAAAUGCUCCAUCAGGUCAGAGGAAACAUGUAUACAUAAGAAAAACCCUUGGGAAACUCAGUGGCAAGGUAAUCAUGUCCUUGGAGCAGAAUAAGUGCAAGGGAUAAACAACACAGCUUUGCUUAAAACCAGCUGCCCUUGUGUGACCUGAAGGGGCUUCCCUAGAGAGGAGCUAAGAAGUGAAACUUUGCUUUUCGUCAGAAGAAAAGUGAUUUGAAGAAUUAAGGACUUUCAGGAAGGAAAAUCACUGCUAUGUUUAACUCUCAAAAGUUGAGGAGGCCAGACAUGGUGGCUCAUGCCUGUGAUGCCAACAAUUUGGGAUGCCAAGGUGAGAGGAUCGUUUGAAGUCAGGAGUUCAAGACCAGCCUGGGACACAUAGUGAGACAUUGUCUCUAUUAAAAAAAACGAAAAACAAAAAAAACGGCGGCGGGGGUGGUGGUGGGGGAAGAAUCUCAAAUUUAAAAAGAUGCCAUAAAAGGUACAAGGGUAAGGCAUUGCAAAGACCAUUAUUAAGGGUGUUGAGGGCUGGCACAGUGGCUCAUGCCUGUAAUUCCACUUUGGGAGGCAGAUCGCUUGAGCCUAGGAGUUUCAGCCCACAGUGAGCUGUGAUCGCGCCACUGCACUCUAACAUGGACGGUGGAGUGAGACUCCAUUUUGGGAAAAAAAAAAAAAAAAAGGAGUUGAGCAGAGGAAAUACUAGGUGAACUCCACUCACUCAGAAAUGUCACCUUGAAU